CUCAACCGUGGAGGGUCAUUGGAAACUGGAGGACUUGAGUGCAGGAGAGGAAAGUGGAAUUCCACGUGUAGCGGUGAAAUGCGUAGAGAUGUGGAGGAACACCAGUGGCGAAGGCGACUUUCUGGCCUGUAACUGACGCUGAGGCGCGAAAGCGUGGGGAGCAAACAGGAUUAGAUACCCUGGUAGUCCACGCCGUAAACGAUGAGUGCUAGGUGUUAGGGGUUUCGAUACCCUUAGUGCCGCAGUUAACACAUUAAGCACUCCGCCUGGGGAGUACGGCCGCAAGGCUGAAACUCAAAGGAAUUGACGGGGGCCCGCACAAGCAGUGGAGCAUGUGGUUUAACUCGAAGCAACGCGAAGAACCUUACCAGGACUUGACAUCCCGCUGACCGGUAUAGAGAUAUACCUUUUCUUCGGAACAGC
Molecule: ribosomal RNA, 423 nt
Filed under: uncultured bacterium
Lineage: Bacteria
Description: bacterial SSU rRNA
Rfam family: Bacterial small subunit ribosomal RNA
Source: RNAcentral